UACGUGGGGUGCUAGCGUUGUUCGGAAUUACUGGGCGUAAAGCGCACGUAGGCGGCUUUGCAAGUCAGAGGUGAAAGCCCGGGGCUCAACUCCGGAAUUGCCUUUAAAACUGCAUCGCUAGAAUUGUGGAGAGGUAAGUGGAAUUCCGAGUGUAGAGGUGAAAUUCGUAGAUAUUCGGAAGAACACCAGUGGCGAAGGCGACUUACUGGACGACUGUUGACGCUGAGGUGCGAAAGCGUGGGGAGCAAACAGG
RNAcentral lists this ribosomal RNA (253 nucleotides) under uncultured bacterium. Its description in RNAcentral is "partial 16S ribosomal RNA". It matches the Rfam family "Bacterial small subunit ribosomal RNA", at positions 524 to 776 of the family's 1533-position model. The record is from RNAcentral.